CUUAAGCAUAUCAAUAAGCGGAGGAAAAGAAACCAACAGGGAUUACCUCAGUAACGGCGAGUGAAGCGGUAACAGCUCAAAUUUGAAAUCUGGCCCUUUCAGGGUCCGAGUUGUAAUUUGUAGAAGAUGCUUUGGGUGUGGCACCGGUCUAAGUUCCUUGGAACAGGACGUCAUAGAGGGUGAGAAUCCCGUAUGUGACUGGCUGCCUUCGCCCGUGUAAAGCUCUUUCGACGAGUCGAGUUGUUUGGGAAUGCAGCUCAAAAUGGGUGGUAAAUUUCAUCUAAAGCUAAAUAUUGGCCAGAGACCGAUAGCGCACAAGUAGAGUGAUCGAAAGAUGAAAAGCACUUUGGAAAGAGAGUUAAACAGUACGUGAAAUUGUUGAAAGGGAAGCGCUUGCAACCAGACUCGCGCGCCGUUGAUCAUCCGGUGUUCUCACCGGUGCACUCGGCGGCGCUCGGGCCAGCAUCAGUUUGGGUGGUGGGAUAAAGGCCUUGGGAAUGUGGCUCUCUUCGGGGAGUGUUAUAGCCCUCGGUGCAAUGCCGCCUACCUGGACUGAGGACCGCGCUUCGGCUAGGAUGCUGGCGUAAUGGUUGUAAGCGACCCGUCUUGAAACACGGACCAAGGAGUCUAACAUCUAUGCGAGUGUUUGGGUGUCAAACCCAUACGCGUAAUGAAAGUGAACGGAGGUGAGAACCCUUAAGGGUGCAUCAUCGACCGAUCCUGAUGUCUUCGGAUGGAUUUGAGUAAGAGCAUAGCUGUUGGGACCCGAAAGAUGGUGAACUAUGCCUAAAUAGGGUGAAGCCAGAGGAAACUCUGGUGGAGGCUCGCAGCGGUUCUGACGUGCAAAUCGAUCGUCAAAUUUGGGUAUAGGGGCGAAAGACUAAUCGAACCAUCUAGUAGCUGGUUCCUGCCGAAGUU
Molecule: ribosomal RNA, 918 nt
Filed under: Trichopezizella otanii
Lineage: Eukaryota; Fungi; Ascomycota; Leotiomycetes; Helotiales; Tricladiaceae
Description: partial large subunit ribosomal RNA
Rfam family: Eukaryotic large subunit ribosomal RNA
Source: RNAcentral